RNAcentral lists this ribosomal RNA (714 nucleotides) under Vibrio cholerae. RNAcentral describes it as "partial 23S ribosomal RNA". It matches the Rfam family "Bacterial large subunit ribosomal RNA", at positions 501 to 1219 of the family's 2925-position model. The record is from RNAcentral. Lineage: Bacteria; Pseudomonadati; Pseudomonadota; Gammaproteobacteria; Vibrionales; Vibrionaceae.
CCGUGAGGGAAAGGCGAAAAGAACCCCUGUGAGGGGAGUGAAAUAGAACCUGAAACCGUGUACGUACAAGCAGUAGGAGCACCUUCGUGGUGUGACUGCGUACCUUUUGUAUAAUGGGUCAGCGACUUAUAUUCAGUGGCAAGGUUAACCGUAUAGGGGAGCCGUAGCGAAAGCGAGUCUUAACUGGGCGCUCAGUCUCUGGAUAUAGACCCGAAACCGGGUGAUCUAGCCAUGGGCAGGUUGAAGGUUGAGUAACAUCAACUGGAGGACCGAACCGACUAAUGUUGAAAAAUUAGCGGAUGACUUGUGGCUAGGGGUGAAAGGCCAAUCAAACUCGGAGAUAGCUGGUUCUCCCCGAAAGCUAUUUAGGUAGCGCCUCGGACGAAUACUACUGGGGGUAGAGCACUGUUAAGGCUAGGGGGUCAUCCCGACUUACCAACCCUUUGCAAACUCCGAAUACCAGUAAGUACUAUCCGGGAGACACACGGCGGGUGCUAACGUCCGUCGUGGAGAGGGAAACAACCCAGACCGCCAGCUAAGGUCCCAAAGUAUUGCUAAGUGGGAAACGAUGUGGGAAGGCUCAGACAGCUAGGAUGUUGGCUUAGAAGCAGCCAUCAUUUAAAGAAAGCGUAAUAGCUCACUAGUCGAGUCGGCCUGCGCGGAAGAUGUAACGGGGCUAAGCAAUACACCGAAGCUGCGGCAAUGUCUUUUAGA